AUGCCUUAAACUUAUGAGUAAGGAAAAUAAUUCGGGAUGAUGCCCAAAUCAUCACGGCUAAUGUGAGACAAAUUUUUGAGUGGGUAAAGGUUGCUCCUAAGGUGACCCACCUACUUUGCAGGAUGCCUGGGAGUCUUGAUCUACCUA
Molecule: small nuclear RNA, 147 nt
Filed under: Carlito syrichta (Philippine tarsier)
Lineage: Eukaryota; Metazoa; Chordata; Mammalia; Primates; Tarsiidae
Description: U12 minor spliceosomal RNA (ENSTSYG00000022937.2)
Rfam family: U12 minor spliceosomal RNA
About the family: Although the U12 sequence is very divergent from that of U2, the two are functionally analogous.
Source: Rfam by way of RNAcentral